GGAUUGUGGUUCAGUGGAAGAAUGCUUGUCUAGCACAUGUGAGACACCGGGUUCAAUCCUCAGCACCA
Molecule: transfer RNA, 68 nt
Filed under: Marmota monax (woodchuck)
Lineage: Eukaryota; Metazoa; Chordata; Mammalia; Rodentia; Sciuridae
Description: tRNA.Ala
Source: RNAcentral